RNAcentral lists this ribosomal RNA (363 nucleotides) under Fusobacterium necrophorum. RNAcentral describes it as "partial 23S ribosomal RNA". It matches the Rfam family "Bacterial large subunit ribosomal RNA", at positions 88 to 432 of the family's 2925-position model. The record is from RNAcentral. Lineage: Bacteria; Fusobacteriati; Fusobacteriota; Fusobacteriia; Fusobacteriales; Fusobacteriaceae.
GCAAACGAACGUGGAUGCCAAGAUUUCCGAAUGGAGCAAUCUGUAAAGAGUCAUGUCUUUACACGAAAGAGGGAACCGGGUGAACUGAAACAUCUAAGUAAUCCGAGGAAAAGAAAGUAACAACGAUACCCUAAGUAGCGGCGAGCGAACGGGGUAGAGCCUAAACCGUAUUCAUGUCAAGGAUGCAGCCGUUGUGGAUACGGGGUAGCGGGAAAGAGAGAGAAAGAACUGCAAGCUAUUUCGCAGACGUAAGCAAAGGAACAAGAAAGAUCUGGAAAGGUCUACCGUAGAAGGUGAAAGUCCUGUAUUGGUAGUUUUCUUGCGCUGUAUCUCUUCUCCCAAGUAAUGUGGAACACGAGGAAU